This 467-nucleotide ribosomal RNA is filed under the name uncultured bacterium. RNAcentral's name for it is "partial 16S ribosomal RNA". It matches the Rfam family "Bacterial small subunit ribosomal RNA", at positions 28 to 507 of the family's 1533-position model. The record is from RNAcentral.
GACGAACGCUGGCGGCGUGCCUAACACAUGCAAGUCGAACGGAACGGCCCUGCUUUUGUGCGGUGCUCAGUGGCGAACGGGUGAGUAACACGUGAUUAACCUGCCCUUGACUUUGGGAUGACUUCAGGAAACUGGGGCUAAUACCGGGUAGGAGCUCCUGCUGCAUGGUGGGGGUUGGAAAGUUUCGGCGGUUGGGGAUGGACUCGCGGCUUAUCAGCUUGGUGGUGGGGUAGUGGCUUACCAAGGCUUUGACGGGUAGCCGGCCUGGGAGGGUGACCGGCCCCAUUGGACCUGAGAUACGGCCCAGACUCCUACGGGAUGCAGCAGUGGGGAAGAUUGCACAAUGGGCAGAAGCCAUAUGCAGCAACGCCGUGUGCUGUAUGACGGCCUUCGGGUUGUGUACCGCGUUCGCCUUUGACGGAGCGUGAGUGACGGUAAUAGGUAAAGAAGCACCGGCUAACUACGUG